This 107-nucleotide small nuclear RNA is filed under the name Catagonus wagneri (Chacoan peccary). Lineage: Eukaryota; Metazoa; Chordata; Mammalia; Artiodactyla; Tayassuidae. The record is from RNAcentral.
GUCCUGGCUUUGGCAACACGUAUACUGAAAUUGGAAUCAUAGAAUGAAGAUCAGCAUGGCCCCUGCACAAGCAUGACAUGCAAAUCUGUAAGCAUUCAUAUUUACAA